Pectinophora gossypiella (pink bollworm) is the source of this 990-nucleotide long non-coding RNA. RefSeq lists it as uncharacterized. The transcript has 2 exons. The record is from RefSeq and is a predicted model, not a curated record. NCBI's taxonomy places the organism in Eukaryota, Metazoa, Arthropoda, Insecta, Lepidoptera, Gelechiidae.
UCACUGCUACGGAUAGCACUGAGUACGUACGCGAUAAUUUACACUUACUUUAACUGUUUUGAAUUGUUUAUGUGUUUAUAAGCAUUUAGUGACAAUAUUUUCGAGUGUUUAUCUAUCCAUUAGUGAUUUUUUUAUUCAUUAAAAACUUCACCAGUGUUUGCAAAAUGCAUGGAUGUGUUUUGUACCCUCUGAGAGGACCAUUCUUUGGUCCUCAUCCGGAACCACCCUCAGCAGAAUCCGGCCCUGAACACCAAAGGUCGGAAGUUUGUUCGCGAUGUAGAGAUCCAAGCCCCAGUGGACGUGAACAUCACUGUGGACCUCGCCAUGGACCACGAGGGCCUCAACAUGAUCCACGUGGGCAUUUUCACGAGCCACAUAGGACUCACCACUGGCAACAUAGGCCUCACCAUGGCCCACAUAGGCCUCAUCACGGGCCUCAUCGGCCGCAUCACGGACCAUUUAGAUAUGAUUUUGGGCCUUGUCACGGCCCACAUAACGAUUUCCAUGAUUCUGGACGUCCAUUUUGUUGUGACCACCGAAAUCCUUUCGAGAGACCUGAGAACGAAGAAGCACAUAACCCGCGAUCAGAUUUCCCUGGUCGCUUUUUCCCUUUCCAUUUCUUUGGCCUAAAUCACCACGGUCCAUGGGGUCGUCGUGGGAGACCUUUUGAUCGGUUCGGUCCCUUCGGCAGACCAAACCCUUAUGAUCGAUUUGAUAGACAUUGUUGUAGAGGAUGUGGAACAAGGAGUGACUGUUGCGAUGACGUGAGGCGUGAUCCAAAGUCUUCUUGUAAGAAGAAUAAGUCUGAUAGAUGCCAAAGACGGAAAGGUUGUAGGAAUGAAGAUAAGAAUACUGAUGCAGAUCCGGAGACGGUUCUUGUACAGAAUAUAAUAGUCGAAACGGCGCCAAGGAGUUAUUCCGUAUAAGAAAGAAGAAAAUGCAUUUAUUUCAUUGCGUAGUUUUAAAUAAAUAACUAUUAUUGUCUUAAUA